RNAcentral lists this ribosomal RNA (2062 nucleotides) under human oral metagenome. RNAcentral describes it as "bacterial LSU rRNA". It matches the Rfam family "Bacterial large subunit ribosomal RNA", at positions 196 to 2001 of the family's 2925-position model. The record is from RNAcentral.
AAUCAUCUUAGUAGGUUGAGGAAAAGAGAAUAAACAAUGAUUCCGAAAGUAGUGGCGAGCGAAAUUGGAACAGCCCAAACCUUAACAUAACCAUACGGUUUAACGGCCAGAGUUAUGAAAGGGGUUGUGAAAUUAGAUAAUUUUUAUGUAUAGCGGUUGAUUACAUCGAAGCCUACUCACUUUUAAGGAACAUAUGCAUGGCCAAGUGGCCACAAGCGUGUCCGAAAAAGUGAGUAGGCUUUUGAUACGACGGUUAUACAUAAAAACCAACAUCGUUAAAUGAGUGGAUAAUGAUAAAAUCCUUUAGAUCAUAGCAGAAGUGUUUGAAUGGCACACCAUAGAAGGUGAGAGUCCUGUACGCGAAAUGGUCUUAGGCAUUAUAUAUCUUUUUUCAAGUAGGACGGGGCACGAGAAACCCUGUUUGAAUCCGGCAGGACCACCUGCCAAGGCUAAAUAUAUUGAUUGAUCGAUAGCGAACUAGUACAGUGAUGGAAAGGUGAAAAGAACCCCGGGAGGGGAGUGAAAUAGAUCCUGAAAUUUAGUGCCUACAAGGAGUCGGAGCCGGCUUGUCCGGUGACGGCGUGCUUUUUGUAGAACGAUCCAGCGAGUUAAUUUCGUGCGCAAGGUUAAGCCAGUUGGCGGAGCCACAGUGAAAGCGAGCCUGAAUAGGGCGAUUAAGUGUACGGGAUUAGACCCGAAACCGGGUGACCUAACCAUGAGCAGGUUGAAGCCACUGUAACAGGUGGUGGAGGACCGAACCAGGAUACGCAGCAAAGUGUUUGGAUGACUUGUGGUUAGCGGUGAAAUGCCAAUCGAACUCGGAGAUAGCUGGUUCUCCUCGAAACAGUUUUAGGACUGGCGUCAUGUGGUAGCAGUCGGGGGUAGAGCUCUGUAAAGGACUGGGGGGAGCAAUCCUACCCACCCUUAACAAACUACGAAUACCGGCUGUGGAAUCAUGGCAGUUAGAACGGCGGAGCUAAGUUCGUCGCUCAAAAGGGAAACAGCCCAGACCAUCGUCUAAGGUCCCUAAAUUUACGUUAAGUGGGAAACAAGGUGAGAUUUCUUAAACAGCUAGGAUGUUGGCUUAGAAGCAGCCAUUCAUUUAAAGAGUGCGUAACAGCUCACUAGUCAAGAGAUUUUGCGUGGAAAAUGUAACGGGGCUAAAGUGUUAAACCGAAGACAUGGACUUCUGCCUAUGCAGGAGUGGUAGAGGAGCGUUGAUAUCGCAGUGAAGUCAGAUUGGAAAGUCUGGUGGAGCGUUAUCAAGUGAGAAUGCUGGAAUUAGUAACCUUAAGACAGGUGAGAAUCCUGUCGGUCGUAAGAGCAAGGUUUCCAGGGCUACAGUAAUUGCCCCUGGGUUAGUCGGUCCUAAGCCGAGGCGUAUCAGCGUAGGCGAUGGACAACAGGUUAAUAUUCCUGUACAGGUAGUAGUUGUGAACAGUUCACGGUGAAUGACUGGAGCGGAUUAAUGGUUUAUCCGUCCAAGUCUUUAGGGAACUAAAGAUGAGUGAAAGGUAAUCUUCGGAUUAUUGAUUCUGGGUGAAGCACUGGCUAGAAAAGCUGGUUCACUUAUGCUGCUGCCUACCGUACCGCAAACCAACACCGGUGCUCGGGUCGAGUAGACCAAGACCUACGUGAGAACCUUCGCUAAGGAACUCGGCAAAAAAGCGUCCGUAACUUCGGAAUAAGGACUGCCCUCUCAUUAAGAUGAGGAUUUGCUAGAAACUCAGCAGAAGAUUCAGAUUACCUUUUAACUGAAUUUUUCGUUGAGACAGAACACAAAACAGGAUUUGUUUAACAAAUUCGUGUCUUUUCUAGUAGUCUAAUCGUCAUUUUGAUGAGAGGGCCGCAGCUAAAGAGCCCACGGAACUGUUUACCAAAAACAUAGGUCUCUGCUAACGCGAAAGCGGAUGUAUAGGGGCUGACUCCUGCCCGGUGUCGGAAGGUUAAGGGGAGAGCUUUACGGUUCGAACUGAAGCCCCGAUGAACGGCGGCGAUAACUAUGAUCGUCCUAAGGUAGCGAAAUUCCUUGUCAGGUAAGUUCUGACCCGCACGAAUGGAG